CCUGGGAACUGCGUUNUGAACUGGGUAGCUAGAGUAUNUCAGAGGGGGGUAGAAUUCCACGUGUAGCAGUGAAAUGCGUAGAGAUGUGGAGGAAUACCGAUGGCGAAGGCAGCCCCCCUGGGAUAAUACUGACGUUCAUGCUCGAAAGCGUGGGUAGCAAACAGGAUUAGAUACCCUGGUAGUCCACGCCCUAAACGAUGUCGAUUAGCUGUUGGGCAACUUGAUUGCUUAGUAGCGUAGCUAACGCGUGAAAUCGACCGCCUGGGGAGUACGGUCGCAAGAUUAAAACUCAAAGGAAUUGACGGGGACCCGCACAAGCGGUGGAUGAUGUGGAUUAAUUUGAUGCAACGCGAAGAACCUUACCUGGUCUUGACAUGUACGGAAGAACUCAGAGACGAGUUUGUGCCUUCGGGAGCCGUAACACAGGUGCUGCAUGGCUGUCGUCAGCUCGUGUCGUGAGAUGUUGGGUUAAGUCCCGCAACGAGCGCAACCCUUGUCAUUAGUUGCCAUCGUUUAGUUGGGCACUCUAAUGAGACUGCCGGUGACAAACCGGAGGAAGGUGGGGAUGACGUCAAGUCCUCAUGGCCCUUAUGACCAGGGCUUCACACGUCAUACAAUGGUCGGUACAGAGGGUAGCCAAGCCGCGAGGUGGAGCCAAUCCCAGAAAACCGAUCGUAGUCCGGAUUGCACUCUGCAACUCGAGUGCAUGAAGUCGGAAUCGCUAGUAAUCGCAGGUCAGCAUACUGCGGUGAAUACGUUCCCGGGUCUUGUACACACCGCCCGUCACACCAUGGGAGUGGGGGAUACCAGAA
RNAcentral lists this ribosomal RNA (812 nucleotides) under uncultured bacterium. RNAcentral describes it as "bacterial SSU rRNA". It matches the Rfam family "Bacterial small subunit ribosomal RNA", at positions 613 to 1425 of the family's 1533-position model. The record is from RNAcentral.